UGGGGAAUAUUGCACAAUGGGCGCAAGCCUGAUGCAGCCAUGCCGCGUGUAUGAAGAAGGCCUUCGGGUUGUAAAGUACUUUCAGUCGGGAGGAAGGUGGUAAGGUUAAUAACCUUAUCAAUUGACGUUACCGACAGAAGAAGCACCGGCUAACUCCGUGCCAGCAGCCGCGGUAAUACGGAGGGUGCAAGCGUUAAUCGGAAUUACUGGGCGUAAAGCGCACGCAGGCGGUUGAUUGAGUCAGAUGUGAAAUCCCCGGGCUUAACCCGGGAAUUGCAUCUGAUACUGGUCAGCUAGAGUCUUGUAGAGGGGGGUAGAAUUCCAUGUGUAUCGGUGAAAUGCGUAGAGAUGUGGAGGAAUACCGGUGGCGAAGGCGGCCCCCUGGACAAAGACUGACGCUCAGGUGCGAAAGCGUGGGGAGCAAACAGG
RNAcentral lists this ribosomal RNA (429 nucleotides) under Chloroflexota bacterium. RNAcentral's name for it is "Chloroflexi bacterium partial 16S ribosomal RNA". It matches the Rfam family "Bacterial small subunit ribosomal RNA", at positions 355 to 776 of the family's 1533-position model. Lineage: Bacteria; Bacillati; Chloroflexota. The record is from RNAcentral.